RNAcentral lists this ribosomal RNA (790 nucleotides) under Soehngenia saccharolytica. Its description in RNAcentral is "bacterial SSU rRNA". It matches the Rfam family "Bacterial small subunit ribosomal RNA", at positions 73 to 874 of the family's 1533-position model. Lineage: Bacteria; Bacillati; Bacillota; Tissierellia; Tissierellales; Tissierellaceae. The record is from RNAcentral.
UUUUCGGGAUGGAACUUUAAAUAUAUCUUAGCGCGGACGGGUGAGUAACGCGUGAGCAACCUGCCUUUCACAAAGGGAUAGCCUCGGGAAACUGGGAUUAAUACCAUAUGAAACUUAACUUUCGCAUGAAAGAUAAGUUAAAGCGAAUAAGCGGUGAAAGAUGGGCUCGCGUCCUAUUAGCUAGUUGGUGAGGUAACGACUCACCAAGGCGACGAUAGGUAGCCGGCCUGAGAGGGUGAACGGCCACACUGGAACUGAGACACGGUCCAGACUCCUACGGGAGGCAGCAGUGGGGGAUAUUGCACAAUGGAGGAAACUCUGAUGCAGCGACGCCGCGUGAGUGAAGAAGGCCUUCGGGUCGUAAAGCUCUGUCCUAGGGGAAGAUAAUGACGGUACCCUAGGAGGAAGCCCCGGCUAACUACGUGCCAGCAGCCGCGGUAAUACGUAGGGGGCGAGCGUUGUCCGGAAUUACUGGGCGUAAAGAGUUCGUAGGCGGUCUGAUAAGUCAGAUGUGAAAGGCGUAGGCUUAACCUAUGUAAGCAUAUGAAACUGUCAGACUUGAGGUAAGGAGAGGAAAGUGGAAUUCCUAGUGUAGCGGUGAAAUGCGUAGAUAUUAGGAGGAAUACCAGUGGCGAAGGCGACUUUCUGGACUUAAACUGACGCUGAGGAACGAAAGCGUGGGGAGCAAACAGGAUUAGAUACCCUGGUAGUCCACGCCGUAAACGAUGAGUGCUAGGUGUCGGGUAGAAAUAUUCGGUGCCGCAGCUAACGCAAAUAAGCGACUCCGCCU